Molecule: ribosomal RNA, 324 nt
Filed under: Triticum aestivum (bread wheat)
Lineage: Eukaryota; Viridiplantae; Streptophyta; Magnoliopsida; Poales; Poaceae
Description: partial small subunit ribosomal RNA
Source: RNAcentral
AUGCCCUCGGUCGGCGACGCCUCCAGCCGCGACGCCCUCCGCCUACGCGGGCUCCUCGACGACUCAGCGGACAGCCCUGGUCUGACGAUCCCCUCGACCGGCACCCCCUUGGUGGAUCUUCCGGACGCACCGGAAUACCACGUCGUCGUCGGCUUAGGUACUCCGGCGCAGAACCUCACCGUCGGAUUCGACACGGCCACCAUCGGAGCCACGCUUCUGCAGUGCAAGCCAUGCGCCGCCGGGGACCCAUGCGACAAGGUCUUCGACCCCUCCCACUCAUCAUCUCUUUACGACAUUCCAUGCGGCAGGACAUGGGAAGGCUAG